GACGGGAGCGGGGGUGG
Molecule: microRNA, 17 nt
Filed under: Macrophomina phaseolina MS6
Lineage: Eukaryota; Fungi; Ascomycota; Dothideomycetes; Botryosphaeriales; Botryosphaeriaceae
Description: miR-3656
Source: RNAcentral